Molecule: long non-coding RNA, 3833 nt
Organism: Leopardus geoffroyi (Geoffroy's cat)
Lineage: Eukaryota; Metazoa; Chordata; Mammalia; Carnivora; Felidae
Exons: 3
Source: RefSeq, a predicted model, not a curated record
AUUCCAAAGCAACCUUCGUGCUAAAGCCAUUGGCCACAGAAUCCAUGUGAUGCUGUGCCCUUCAAGGAUUUAAACUUACUGUAAAGUAAAUAAAAGUGUACAUUUGCUCUCUUACGGGGGGCAGGGAGGGAGGAAGAAAAAAAGAAAAAUAGGUCCAUGGGUGACGUGUGAUACUCUGUUUACGGAAAUGGAGAAUAAAUGCUAAAUCAUUGCCUCUGAGACCUCCUAAGUUUUGUCGUGAGGCUGAGAAGCCAGAUGCCAAGUUAUUAUUCCAACAGAGAGAAAAGCGAUGAUGGGAGUAACACGUGGGAUUUAGCACAAAACCAAUGAGCAUUUCAACAUACACAGGGAGCAGUGAAAAUGACCCAAUACCAUUUAUGAAAGGAAUCAAUGCUGUUUAAAAGAGGCCUCAAGGCUUUACUUCCCAGUGCAGGCGGGACAAUAAUGGAGGCCAUUGGUCCUCUCCUGCAAGGCCGUGAGUGAGGGAACAGAGCCCAAGAGGCCAAAAUACAUGUCAGUUGUGUCUGAAGGGCUUACUCUUCCCUUUGAAAUCACCUAGACCAUCCAUUCAGAGAAUGAGGUCAAUCCAAGGGUUAAGAAAUCAGAGAUGAGGAAUCCCGCUAAUCCAGGACCCAGUAUCCCAGGCUUCACGUACAUGUCUGCUUCCAGGCUGCAAAGAGGCCUGGAACAAGUGACUCAAGGUUUCCUGCUUUUACAAACCUAUGCAAAAGACAGCAACUCUCACCCAGAACCUGCUGCAAGGAUGAAUGAGAAUGUUUUUAAACUUGAAAAAGCGGCUGCUAGUUUUAAAAAUAAAAAUGGAGGUCAUUCAAAUGCAACAGCAUGUGCUCUGGUUCCAGCCUUUAUGCCACUGCAGAGACUUUCAUUUCCUCCACACACUAUGCAAUUUGAAUCUGGUUUGUGAAAAUGUACUGUGGUUCAGCAUAGUGUAAGGAGAAGAUCAGAACAUAAAACAAGACCACAUCCAUAAUAUUUCAGAGGGAAUAUAAUGGUUUAAAGAGUAGGCUUUGGAAUCACAAGGUCAGGCUUCAAACUCUGGGCCCCCUAUUUCUUUUUUUUUUUUUUAAUUUUUAUUUAAAAAAACUUUUUUAACAUUUAUUUAUUUUUGAGAGAGAGAGAGAGAGAGGGAGAGGGAGAGAGAGAGAGAGAGAGAGAGACAGAGCAUGAGUGGGGGAGGGGCAGAGAAAGAGGGAGACACAGAGUCCAAAGCAGGCUCCAGUCUCUGACCUGUCAGCACAAAGCCCGACGCGGGGCUCGAACUCACAGACUGUGAGAUCAUGACCUGAGCUGAAGUCAGAUGCUUAACCGACUAAGCCACCCAGGCGCCCCUGGGCCCCCUAUUUCUAGUGUAUGACCCUGGAAAGUUACUGAAACUCUCUGUGGCUCAGUUUCCCCACCUCUACAACAGGGGUUAUGGUUGUAGGUUUUGAUCUCGAAGCUUUCAAAUAUUCUAGUUUUACAGAAAACUAGGUCAGGGUUUGAUUCCAAAAAGCCAAAAUAACUAAAAGUUGUAAACUGAAUUAGUAAAUCCUCUAUCAAAGAUGCAGUCUCAGUAAGCAAGCACAUUGGAUGGCCAUGAAAAAUGCAUGGCUGUUCCUCUGACGAAGGCCCUCAGCCUUGUCCACAGAUACUGCCAGAAGAUUCCUAUCCAAAGCUCCUGAAUUCUUCAUGUCUCUGUUCCUCGCUGUGCUCUCAAUAUUCCAAACUCACAGAUAUUCAGUAUCCUGGCAAGGCAGAGCACUGCUCAUAUUGUAUUGCUGUGGUUUUAUCAUUACAGGUUGAGAAAUACAGUUUUAAUUACUGUUUGAGGAGAAAAGUAUCCUAAUGCCCAGUGGUAUAUCUUAUACAUCUUACAUAAGACAGAUGUAUAACUGGAGGAACAAAACUACCAACAGCCUUCUCCUUCCCAUGAGCAGCCAUUACCCGCUUUGCAGCUUAGCAAUGGGAUGGUUUCUUAAUAUGAGGAGGUCAAGGGGAUGCAAUGCUGAUACGGGGCAGGGACUGAGUGAAAGAUACAUCGUUCAUAUAACAACCGCUAGCAUUUGCUUGAAGACAAUUCUUGCUAAUUAUGGGACUGGUAAGAAAAAUGCACCUCUUCCUUGUUUUGAGUUGACAUUACAUGAUCUCUUAAAAUGAAUAUUUGAUCCUUGAAGAAGUAAGCAGGUAUAUGGAGGUAUAGUUUGUGGUUAGGUGACUGAGGCCUCUGAGAACAGUUAACAGCAGGAGCAUACCGGGAAGGUGCAGAGAAUAAAUAGGCAUGACUCAUCCUGAUACGGAGACCACAAAGGGCCAAGGAGGAUGCCUGUGCAUACCCUACGGCUCUGAGAAGUCAAAUGCUAUCAAGGACUGGUCUGGUCUAAAGAACAGACAACGGAAAAUGCAUUUCUUGGAAUAAGUAAUGGCUUUGGGGUGAGAGCAACAUUUGUGUUUAAAGGGCAGACUGUUCUCAAAAGGUAAAUGAACACAUAUGUUUUGUCAGUAAUAAGGAAAAGGAAGUCCUGCAUGAAGGCACAGGCCUGACACCAAGGUCAGGACCCUCUGAGUGAAAUUUAACUUCGUGGGUACUUUUUACGUGGACUCUAAUUGAGUCCCUAUUAAAUCAAAAACAUCAGAACACUUUGGAGCAAUACACCAAAAGCUUCCAUGUCCACAACAAAACAUUACAAUGUCUACGAUAUAAUCCAAAAUUAUUCAACAUACAAAGAUCCAGGAAAAUGUGACACGUUCUCAAAAUCAACAGAUGCCAAUGGUGAGACGAUCGGAUGGUGGCAUCAGCAGACAGGAGCUUUAAAGCAGCUAUCAGAACCAUGCCCAGGGAAGUGAAGGAUGUUCACAAUAAAUGAAAGGUAGGCAGUACCAAUAGAGAAAGAAAAAAAGGGAAUUAACAACUGAAAACAUACAAGGGUUGAAAUUUUAAAAAUGCUCAAUAGAAGGGAAAUGACAGAGGACAAAGAGGGUAAACCUGAAGAUGUAUUAAUAGAAACCAUCUAAUCUAAAGAAGAGACAGCGUGCUGAGAAAAAGGUGAACAGAGCCUCAGAAACCCGUGGGAGAAUUUCAAAAGCUCUAACAUAUGGAUAAAUGUGUCCCAGAAGGACAGAGAGAAUGGAGCUGAAAAAUGGCUGAAAAUCUCCCAAAUAUGGUAAAAGACAUAAACUCAACAGAUUUAAAGUAGCUUAAUGAACUCCAGAACAAGAGAAAUUCAAAGAGAACCAUGAUUAGGCACAUCCCAGUCCGACUAACUGAAAACCAAAGAUAAAGAAACUCUUGACUGCACCCAGAGAGGAAAAACAUGUUGCACAUGGGGAAGAACGAUUAGAACAAGCAAGCCCUUCUCAUCUCUGGAGGCCACGGACACUGAAACGACAUCUUUAAAGCACAUAAAGCAAGAUCAGGUGGAAUUCUUUAUCUAUGAAAUUUUUGAUCAUGACAAAAAGACAUUUACAGAAGAAGGAAACUGGAAGAACUUGUUGCCAAUGGACCUGCUCUAUAAGAAAUGCUAAAGCAAGUUCUUCAGUAUGAAGAGAAAUGAAAUCGGUAGGGAACUCAGAGCUUCAGGGACGAAUGAAGGCGACUGGAAAUGGUAAAAGAUCAAAAGCAACUAGAGAUGCAAUGCUUCAGAACGCAGAUGGCAGAAGACUUGCCAGGCAGCCAUUCACCCUUAUGUGACAGCCUCUGCUUACGCUGAAGCUUGUUUCAGUCCAGGUUCACAGACAUUCUAUCAAAAUGGCACACGUUUCUCUGUGGCUUCUGUGAAAGACCAAUGGAGGAAGUGCUAGAAAACGAGGCCAAAGCAGCACCGUGGGCAGUGGUG